RNAcentral lists this small RNA (158 nucleotides) under Jaculus jaculus (lesser Egyptian jerboa). RNAcentral describes it as "7SK RNA (ENSJJAG00000005786.1)". It matches the Rfam family "7SK RNA", at positions 116 to 273 of the family's 331-position model. Rfam says of the family: 7SK was discovered as an abundant small nuclear RNA in the mid-70s but a possible function has only recently been suggested. Two independent studies have found that 7SK RNA binds the CDK9/cyclin T complex (known as elongation factor P-TEFb). Lineage: Eukaryota; Metazoa; Chordata; Mammalia; Rodentia; Dipodidae. The record is from RNAcentral.
UCCCUGUUGACGCUGGGUGCUAGGCUGAAGAGCAGGACCUUCCCUGGAAUAGGGGAGGACGGGUCUUCAGUCAAGGGUAUGAGAGUAGCUGCGCUCCCCUCCUAGAGCCUCAAACAAGCUCUCAAGAAAUUGGAACAGGAUUGGAGAGAUGGCUUAGU